GAUGAACGCUAGCGGCAGGCUUAACACAUGCAAGUCAGGGCAGCGGGAACUUAGCUUGCUAAGUUUGCCGGCGACCGGCGCACGGGUGAGUAACACGUAUCCAACCUGGCCCAUACUCGGGUAUAGCCUCUCGAAAGGGAGAUUAAUCCCCGAUGUUGUUGUUUCACCGCAUGGUGUAUCAACCAAAGAAUUUCGGUAUGGGAUGGGGAUGCGUUCCAUUAGCUUGUUGGCGGGGUAACGGCCCACCAAGGCGACGAUGGAUAGGGGUUCUGAGAGGAAGGUCCCCCACACUGGAACUGAGACACGGUCCAGACUCCUACGGGAGGCAGCAGUGAGGAAUAUUGGUCAAUGGUCGGAAGACUGAACCAGCCAUGCCGCGUGAAGGUCACGGCCCUAUGGGUCUUAAACUUCUUUUGUAAGGGAGCAAUAAGGUUCACGUGUGGACUGAUGAGAGUACCUUACGAAUAAGCAUCGGCUAACUCCGUG
This 486-nucleotide ribosomal RNA is filed under the name uncultured bacterium. RNAcentral describes it as "bacterial SSU rRNA". It matches the Rfam family "Bacterial small subunit ribosomal RNA", at positions 28 to 507 of the family's 1533-position model. The record is from RNAcentral.